GACGAACGCUGGCGGCGUGCCUAAUACAUGCAAGUAGAACGCACAGUUUAUACCGUAGCUUGCUACACCAUAGACUGUGAGUUGCGAACGGGUGAGUAACGCGUAGGUAACCUGCCUGGUAGCGGGGGAUAACUAUUGGAAACGAUAGCUAAUACCGCAUAAUAUUGAUUAUUGCAUGAUAAUUGAUUGAAAGAUGCUAUUGCAUCACUACCAGAUGGACCUGCGUUGUAUUAGCUAGUAGGUGAGGUAACGGCUCACCUAGGCGACGAUACAUAGCCGACCUGAGAGGGUGAUCGGCCACACUGGGACUGAGACACGGCCCAGACUCCUACGGGAGGCAGCAGUAGGGAAUCUUCGGCAAUGGACGAAAGUCUGACCGAGCAACGCCGCGUGAGUGAAGAAGGGUUUCGGAUCGUAAAGCUCUGUUGUAAGAGAAGAACGGGUGUGAGAGUGGAAAGUUCACACUGUGACGGUAUCUUAACAGAAAGGGACGGCUAACUACGUG
Molecule: ribosomal RNA, 505 nt
Filed under: uncultured bacterium
Lineage: Bacteria
Description: partial 16S ribosomal RNA
Rfam family: Bacterial small subunit ribosomal RNA
Source: RNAcentral